AGCGAACGCUGGCGGCAGGCCUAACACAUGCAAGUCGAACGAACUCUUCGGAGUUAGUGGCGGACGGGUGAGUAACACGUGGGAACGUGCCUUUUGGUUCGGAAUAACUCAGGGAAACUUGUGCUAAUACCGAAUGUGCCCUUCGGGGGAAAGAUUUAUCGCCAUUAGAGCGGCCCGCGUCUGAUUAGCUAGUUGGUGAGGUAACGGCUCACCAAGGCGACGAUCAGUAGCUGGUCUGAGAGGAUGACCAGCCACACUGGGACUGAGACACGGCCCAGACUCCUACGGGAGGCAGCAGUGGGGAAUCUUGCGCAAUGGGCGAAAGCCUGACGCAGCCAUGCCGCGUGAAUGAUGAAGGUCUUAGGAUUGUAAAAUUCUUUCACCGGGGACGAUAUGACGGUACCCGGAGAAGAAGCCCCGGCUAACUUCGUG
RNAcentral lists this ribosomal RNA (432 nucleotides) under uncultured bacterium. RNAcentral describes it as "partial 16S ribosomal RNA". It matches the Rfam family "Bacterial small subunit ribosomal RNA", at positions 29 to 507 of the family's 1533-position model. The record is from RNAcentral.